CCUGGCUCAGAACGAACGCUGGCGGCAGGCCUAACACAUGCAAGUCGAGCGCGCCUUCGGGCGAGCGGCGGACGGGUUAGUAACGCGUGGGAACGUGCCCAGAUCUACGGAAUAGCCACUGGAAACGGUGAGUAAUACCGUAUACGCCCUUCGGGGGAAAGAUUUAUCGGAUUUGGAUCGGCCCGCGUUAGAUUAGGUAGUUGGUGGGGUAACGGCCUACCAAGCCUACGAUCUAUAGCUGGUUUUAGAGGAUGAUCAGCAACACUGGGACUGAGACACGGCCCAGACUCCUACGGGAGGCAGCAGUGGGGAAUCUUGGACAAUGGGGGCAACCCUGAUCCAGCCAUGCCGCGUGAGUGAAGAAGGCCCUAGGGUCGUAAAACUCUUUCGCCUGUGAUGAUAAUGACAGUAGCAGGUAAAGAAACCCCGGCUAACUCCGUGCCAGCAGCCGCGGUAAUACGGAGGGGGUUAGCGUUGUUCGGAAUUACUGGGCGUAAAGCGCACGUAGGCGGAUUAGAAAGUUAGAGGUGAAAUCCCGGGGCUCAACCCCGGAACUGCCUUUAAAACUACUAGUCUAGAGUUCGAGAGAGGUGAGUGGAAUUCCGAGUGUAGAGGUGAAAUUCGUAGAUAUUCGGAGGAACACCAGUGGCGAAGGCGGCUCACUGGCUCGAUACUGACGCUGAGGUGCGAAAGUGUGGGGAGCAAACAGGAUUAGAUACCCUGGUAGUCCACACCGUAAACGAUGAAUGCCAGUCGUCGGGUAGUAUACUAUUCGGUGACACACCUAACGGAUUAAGCAUUCCGCCUGGGGA
This 812-nucleotide ribosomal RNA is filed under the name uncultured Paracoccaceae bacterium. RNAcentral describes it as "bacterial SSU rRNA". It matches the Rfam family "Bacterial small subunit ribosomal RNA", at positions 18 to 879 of the family's 1533-position model. Lineage: Bacteria; Pseudomonadati; Pseudomonadota; Alphaproteobacteria; Rhodobacterales; Paracoccaceae. The record is from RNAcentral.